RNAcentral lists this transfer RNA (72 nucleotides) under Marmota monax (woodchuck). It matches the Rfam family "tRNA". Rfam says of the family: Transfer RNA (tRNA) molecules are approximately 80 nucleotides in length. Their secondary structure includes four short double-helical elements and three loops (D, anti-codon, and T loops). Further hydrogen bonds mediate the characteristic L-shaped molecular structure. tRNAs have two regions of fundamental functional importance: the anti-codon, which is responsible for specific mRNA codon recognition, and the 3' end, to which the tRNAs corresponding amino acid is attached (by aminoacyl-tRNA synthetases). tRNAs cope with the degeneracy of the genetic code in two manners: having more than one tRNA (with a specific anti-codon) for a particular amino acid; and 'wobble' base-pairing, i.e. permitting non-standard base-pairing at the 3rd anti-codon position. Lineage: Eukaryota; Metazoa; Chordata; Mammalia; Rodentia; Sciuridae. The record is from Rfam by way of RNAcentral.
UGGGCUGUAGCUCAGUGGUAGAGCACUUGCCUAGCAUGUGUGAGGCCCUGGGUUUGAUCCCCAGCACCACAU